GCGCCCUUAGCUCAGCUGGAUAGAGCAGCGGACUUCUAAUCCGCAGGUCGGAGGUUCGAGUCCUCCAGGGCGCGCCA
RNAcentral lists this transfer RNA (77 nucleotides) under Alphaproteobacteria bacterium. Its description in RNAcentral is "tRNA-Arg". It matches the Rfam family "tRNA". Rfam says of the family: Transfer RNA (tRNA) molecules are approximately 80 nucleotides in length. Their secondary structure includes four short double-helical elements and three loops (D, anti-codon, and T loops). The record is from RNAcentral. Lineage: Bacteria; Pseudomonadati; Pseudomonadota; Alphaproteobacteria. RNAcentral also lists the same sequence under 1 other name.